AUUGAACGCUGGCGGCAGGCCUAACACAUGCAAGUCGAGCGGAGCGGCGGACGGGUGAGUAAUGCCUAGGUAUCUGCCUGGUCGUGGUGGAUAACGUCCGGAAACGGGCGCUAAUACCGCAUACUCUCAGAUGAGGCUAGGUCGGUUUCGCUAGUUGGUGGGGUAAAGGCCUAACAAGGCGACGAUCCGUAACUGGUCUGAGAGGAUGAUCAGUCAAACUGGAACUGAGAAACGGUCCAGACUCCUACGGGAGGCAGCAGGGGGGAAUAUUGGACAAUGGGCGAAAGUCUGAACCAGGCAUGCCGCGGGGGUGAAGAAGGUCUGCGGAUUGUAAAGCACUUUAAGUUGGGAGGCGGUACCAACAGAAUAAGCACCGGCUAACUUCGUGCCAGCAGCCGCGGUAAUUC
RNAcentral lists this ribosomal RNA (407 nucleotides) under uncultured bacterium. RNAcentral describes it as "partial 16S ribosomal RNA". It matches the Rfam family "Bacterial small subunit ribosomal RNA", at positions 30 to 526 of the family's 1533-position model. The record is from RNAcentral.